Molecule: ribosomal RNA, 735 nt
Filed under: uncultured bacterium
Lineage: Bacteria
Description: bacterial SSU rRNA
Rfam family: Bacterial small subunit ribosomal RNA
Source: RNAcentral
GACGAACGCUGGCGGCGCGCCUAACACAUGCAAGUCGAACGAGCGAGAGAGAGCUUGCUUUCUCAAGCGAGUGGCGAACGGGUGAGUAACGCGUGAGGAACCUGCCUCAAAGAGGGGGACAACAGUUGGAAACGACUGCUAAUACCGCAUAAGCCCACAGGUCGGCAUCGACCAGAGGGAAAAGGAGCAAUCCGCUUUGAGAUGGCCUCGCGUCCGAUUAGCUGGUUGGUGAGGUAACGGCCCACCAAGGCGACGAUCGGUAGCCGGACUGAGAGGUUGAACGGCCACAUUGGGACUGAGACACGGCCCAGACUCCUACGGGAGGCAGCAGUGGGGAAUAUUGCACAAUGGGGGAAACCCUGAUGCAGCGACGCCGCGUGGAGGAAGAAGGUCUUCGGAUUGUAAACUCCUGUUGUCGAGGAAGAUAAUGACGGUACUCAACAAGGAAGUGACGGCUAACUACGUGCCAGCAGCCGCGGUAAAACGUAGGUCACAAGCGUUGUCCGGAAUUACUGGGUGUAAAGGGAGCGCAGGCGGGAAGACAAGUUGGAAGUGAAAUCUAUGGGCUCAGCCCAUAAACUGCUUUCAAAACUGUUUUUCUUGAGUAGUGCAGAGGUAGGCGGAAUUCCCGGUGUAGCGGUGGAAUGCGUAGAUAUCGGGAGGAACACCAGUGGCGAAGGCGGCCUGCUGGGCACCAACUGACGCUGAGGCUCGAAAGUGUGGGUAGCAAACAGG